UACGGAGGGAGCUAGCGUUGUCCGGAAUUACUGGGCGUAAAGAGCUCGUAGGUGGUUUGUCGCGUUGUUCGUGAAAACUCACAGCUCAACUGUGGGCGUGCGGGCGAUACGGGCAGACUAGAGUACUGCAGGGGAGACUGGAAUUCCUGGUGUAGCGGUGGAAUGCGCAGAUAUCAGGAGGAACACCGGUGGCGAAGGCGGGUCUCUGGGCAGUAACUGACGCUGAGGAGCGAAAGCGUGGGGAGCGAACAGG
Molecule: ribosomal RNA, 253 nt
Filed under: uncultured bacterium
Lineage: Bacteria
Description: partial 16S ribosomal RNA
Rfam family: Bacterial small subunit ribosomal RNA
Source: RNAcentral